Molecule: ribosomal RNA, 346 nt
Filed under: uncultured bacterium
Lineage: Bacteria
Description: bacterial SSU rRNA
Rfam family: Bacterial small subunit ribosomal RNA
Source: RNAcentral
AACGAACGCUGGCGGCAGGCCUAACACAUGCAAGUCGAACGCGUCCUGGACGAGUGGCAGACGGGUGAGUAACGCGUGGGAACGUACCCUUUGGUUCGGAACAACUCCGGGAAACUGGAGCUAAUACCGGGAUAAGCCCUUCGGGGAAAGGAUUAUCGCCAGAGGAUCGGCCCGCGUUAGAUUAGCUGUUGGUGAGGUAAUGGCUCACCAAGGCUACGAUCUAUAGCUGGUCUGAAGAGGAUGAUCAGCCACACUGGGACUGAGACACGGCCCAGACUCUUACGGGAGGCAGCAGUGGGGGAAUCUUGGACAAUGGGCGGAAAGCCUGAUCCAGCCAUGCCGCGUG